GUGACACCUCUGGAGAGUGAAGUCCUCCAUUUAUCCACAGCACAGGUACAAAGUGGGCAGCCGUGGUACAACCUUCUCCCAAGCCAACUUAGUGGGACCAACCUCUAAACAUGAGAAGCUUCAGUCCUCCCUACCCAUUCAGUCUUCUGACUCU
Molecule: small RNA, 154 nt
Filed under: Chelonoidis abingdonii (Abingdon island giant tortoise)
Lineage: Eukaryota; Metazoa; Chordata; Testudines; Testudinidae
Description: TUC338 (ENSCABG00000002994.1)
Source: RNAcentral